AGCAGCCGCGGUAAUUCCAGCUCCAAUAGCGUAUAUUAAAGUUGUUGCAGUUAAAAAGCUCGUAGUUGAAUUUCGGGAUUGACGUGAUGGUCGUGCCUUAAGGGGUAUGAACUGUCGCAGUUGAUUUCUCACCUUCUGGAGAAGCAUGAUGUCCUUAAUUGGGUGUCAUGUGGAACCAGGACCUUUACCUUGAAAAAUUAGAGUGUUUAAAGCAGGCAUUUUGCUCGAAUACAUUAGCAUGGAAUAAUAGAAUAGGACGGCAUGGUUCUAUUUUGUUGGUUUCUAGGAUCACCGUAAUGAUUAAUAGGGAUAGUUGGGGGCAUUAGUAUUCAAUUGUCAGAGGUGAAAUUCUUGGAUUUAUUGAAGACUAACUACUGCGAAAGCAUUUGCCAAGGAUGUUUUCAUUAAUCAAGAACGAAAGUUAGGGGAUCGAAGACGAUCAGAUACCGUCGUAGUCUUAACCAUAAACUAUGCCGACUAGGAAUCAGACGAUGUUAAUUUUUAANGACUUCGG
RNAcentral lists this ribosomal RNA (514 nucleotides) under uncultured Entrophospora. RNAcentral describes it as "SSU rRNA". It matches the Rfam family "Eukaryotic small subunit ribosomal RNA", at positions 569 to 1082 of the family's 1831-position model. The record is from RNAcentral. Lineage: Eukaryota; Fungi; Glomeromycota; Glomeromycetes; Entrophosporales; Entrophosporaceae.